Molecule: ribosomal RNA, 253 nt
Filed under: uncultured bacterium
Lineage: Bacteria
Description: partial 16S ribosomal RNA
Rfam family: Bacterial small subunit ribosomal RNA
Source: RNAcentral
UACGUAGGGUGCGAGCGUUGUCCGGAAUUAUUGGGCGUAAAGAGCUCGUAGGCGGUCUGUCGCGUCGGAUGUGAAAGCCCGGGGCUUAACUCCGGGUCUGCAUUCGAUACGGGCGGACUAGAGUGUGGUAGGGGAGAUCGGAAUUCCUGGUGUAGCGGUGAAAUGCGCAGAUAUCAGGAGGAACACCGGUGGCGAAGGCGGAUCUCUGGGCCAUUACUGACGCUGAGGAGCGAAAGCGUGGGGAGCGAACAGG